Molecule: ribosomal RNA, 1968 nt
Filed under: Triticum aestivum (bread wheat)
Lineage: Eukaryota; Viridiplantae; Streptophyta; Magnoliopsida; Poales; Poaceae
Description: partial small subunit ribosomal RNA
Source: RNAcentral
CUAGGUGGCGGCUGGAACGGCAGGAGGAGUGAGUGGCGGCUGGAGCGGCAGGAGGAGUGGGUGGCGACGGCUGGAGCAGGGAGGGAGGGGAGUGGUAGAGAGGAGCAGAGUGGAGUGGCGCUCGGGGCGUUGGGUUAGGUAGCGGCGGAGGGAAGGUCUAGGUAGCGUCGGUGGCGGUGGAGAGAGGCCGCCUCGAGCGGCAGCAAGUACCGGAGGGGGUACGGGGGGAGGAGAGCGGGGAGGGGAAGGGAGUGGUGGGUUGGCUUGGUUGGUCGGAUGGUUGGGCUUCUCUUUUCGCUCGCCUCCGCUCUACCGCUGGCCUGCGCUCCGGCCGCUCCGCCGCGGCACCCUCCUCCUCCUCGUCUCCCUCACCCGCCUAGACUGCAGGCACACGGACCGCCUCCGCAAGAGUGCCGACCCGGACCUCCUGGACACCGCGCCGCGGUACCGCACGACGGCGAGGACCGCCCGCCGGCGCGCGAGGGCCGGCCGCGAUAAGCAGCACGAGCUGGAGGCGGGCCGAAAGCUCCGGCAGUCGCGACGUGAAGACCUGCGGCGCGAGCUGGGGUGGUACGUGUGACAGAGAGAGCGCUGGUGCGCGGCCGGUCCAAGCGGCGGACCCGCUGCCCACCCUCCUAGGCAGUCUCCUCCCCCGCGCCUCCCUCUCCUUCCGCCUCUACCGCGUCUCGUGUGACGGCUCUUCGACGUCUCGGACCGGAGGGGGCUGCUGCUCAAGCUCUUGCUCCCAGUACCGCCGUGGCCCGGAGGGGCUCCGCCUGAAGUCCUUCCGCGACCUGAGCCGCGAGAAGUCCGCCACCGACCUCUCGGACGUCCGCCUCUUCCCGGACGAACGGGUGCCCUUCGAGUCGGAGGCGGUCUAGGAGUAGGUCCCCCACCUGUACAAGCCCGUCGCGCACCCUAAGGAGUUCAAGUUCCGGCUGUAGUACCUGCUCUUUUGGGUUCGGUUCUAAGGUCCCUAAAAGAAACGUUCUCCCGGACGACAACGACACAACUAGGAAAACGUCAGGUUUCCCGUUUGAAUACAACAAGAAUGACUUGUCCGAUCUCAAGGAUAACCCUUCAAAUAUAACCUCGAUGGUCGACCUUACGAUCUACUACUUUUGCCGCUGAAACAACCGUGGCGUCAGGCUCUCCAAGUGUUCCGUAUAUGGUUAGAACGACGGUGACGGUCCUUAGGCUGCUCAAGGUAUUCGACAGACCUAGAAGCAUGAGAACGACACGACCGUUUGAGGUGGGACAGGUCGAGUUCCAACCUUACAGAUAACUGGGUUUCGACAAAGUUUCUACAAAGACAGUUUGAAGGGUCGUCAGAGAAACUAUAAUCCAGAGAAUUAAUAACCUUUCUGUGACCAUCAUUGUAAAUAACCAUCUCACAAACCUCAAAGGUGGUAUCGACAACAAGCCCAACCAGAAAACAAACGUGGACCACCCCUGAAACUAUCGAUACAAGGAGGAGGAGAUGACAAAUCAUCCGUCCGUCUUAUGGGUUCAUGAUGAAGAACUCGUAGCGGAUGUAGUCGGUUUCCGAGACUUUUGACCAAUAAUUAGUUUUUGACUUAAACAAAACAACACGUUAUAUAAAUGUGUACUCGGUUUGUGGGACUAAGAAUGAAUGGUGAUAUUUAUUAACAGAAGUUUCUCCCCAACCUAAAGGAAAAACUAGACGUUAGACGUAGCGGAUCAUUAAUGAUCAUACAAAGUAAAACCCCCGUUACAUACACCAACAAAACGUCCAUGAUUGACAUGUAAACUACACGGACACUAACUAGUGGUUGGUCGAACAAUCAAAGCGUCCUCCUCGUGCGGAUCCUCUUCUCUCCCGAGUAAGGUGAACAAACCUUCUCUUCUGCUACUUCGUACCACCAAUAGAUCUAUUAGACGGAACACAAAACCAACAUGAAACAUGGAUCAAUAUAACAUAAGACAUCAUCAGUCGUGUAAGAUCUC